This 406-nucleotide ribosomal RNA is filed under the name uncultured bacterium. Its description in RNAcentral is "partial 16S ribosomal RNA". It matches the Rfam family "Bacterial small subunit ribosomal RNA", at positions 29 to 526 of the family's 1533-position model. The record is from RNAcentral.
AUUGAACGCUGGCGGCAGGCCUAACACAUGCAAGUCGAGCGAGCGGCGGACGGGUGAGUAAUGUCUGGGAAACUGUCUGAUGGAGGGGGAUAACUACUGGAAACGGUAGCUAAUAACGCAUACCAUCAAACGUGCCUAGAAGGGACUAGUUAGUAGGUGGGGUAAUGGCCCACCGAGGCGACGAUCCCUAGCGGGUCUGAGAGGAUGACCAGCCACACUGGAACUGAGACACGGUCCAGACUCCUACGGGAGGCAGCAGUGGGGAAUAUGGGACAAUGGGCGAAAGCCUGAUGCAGCCAUGCCGCGUGUGUGAAGAAGGCCUUCGGGUUGUAAAGCACUGUCAGCGGGGAGGCGUUACCCGCAGAAGAAGCACCGGCUAACUCCGUGCCAGCAGCCGCGGUAAUAC